Molecule: long non-coding RNA, 312 nt
Filed under: Pogona vitticeps (central bearded dragon)
Lineage: Eukaryota; Metazoa; Chordata; Lepidosauria; Squamata; Agamidae
Description: lncRNA (ENSPVIG00000010601.1)
Source: RNAcentral
AUGAAGGGAGCGGGAUUCUCCUCACCUCCUCAGUGGUCCUCUGGAGAAGAGGCGAGACCCAGUUUGCCCAGUUCUGGGGGCAGAAGAAGGCGCGAGGGAGAGAACGAGCCGGCGCCUCGCUCGGAAGCUGCGAGCAGCCCGCAGGUCAAAUGCAGCCUGUUCGGCACUAGAGGGGUCCUUUUGCAGGACUGUAAGAAUCCAGCAGAAAAGAGCAUCUUACUGUUCGAUGACAUAUCUGGAGAUAUCUCCUUGCUUUCCAAGGUGGCAUUGCAGGUGUCUUCAGCAGAAAAUGAGAACACACUGAGGUUGUAA